AACCGUUUGUUGUUGUUGUUAGCGCCUUAGCAACGGAGCUAACUUAGCUUAGCUUAGCUUAGCUUUAACUGUCUAACUGUCUACACAAGUCAGUUCGUAUCAGUUCUAUCUUUUAAUUUUAAAUAAGUUUUAGUUUAUAUUGUAAAGCGUAACUAAUAACUUGUUGUUGCCGUGUUAUUAACGGUAAUAACCACUGGGUCAUAACAUCUGUCUUAUAGAGUUAUUACUGUUAAGAGCUUUCUGUGAAGAUGAGCUGCAUAUUGGACGAUCCGUCACUGGAAAAAAAGUUUAAAGGUCACAGAGACUCGAUCAGCAGCCUGGACUUCAGCUCCAACACCAAACAAAUAGCUACAGGAUCAUUGGACACGUGUGUGAUGAUCUGGAACAUGAAGCCUCACGCGAGAUCGUACCGGUUUGUUGGACAUAAAGACGGCGUGCUGUGUGUCCACUUCUCUCCAUCAGGACAGCUCCUCGCCUCGGCCUCACGCGACAGAACUGUACGUCUCUGGCUGCCCACCGUGAGAGGAGAGUCGAGUGUGUUUAGAGCUCACACAGGGACGGUGCGGAGCGUGAACUUCUGCAGUGAUGGACAGACUUUAGUCACUGCAUCAGAUGAUAAAACAGUGAAGGUGUGGACUGUCCAUCGGCAGAAAUUCCUCUUCUCCUUUAACCGUCACAUCAACUGGGUCCGCUGUGCAAAGUUUUCUCCAGACGGGAGAUUAAUUGUCUCAGCGAGCGACGACAAAACAGUGAAGAUCUGGGACAAGAACAGCCGAGAGUGCGUUCACUCCUUCUGUGAGCACAGCGGCUAUGUGAAUUACGCUGAUUUUCACCCCAGUGGGACGUGCAUCGCUGCUGCCAGCACAGACAACACAGUUAAAGUGUGGGACAUUCGCACUCAUAAACUUCUACAGCAUUACCAAGUCCACAGUGGACCUGUGAACUCUCUGUCCUUCCACCCAGCUGGGAAUCACCUGAUCACCGCCUCCACCGACUCCACACUGAAGAUCCUCGACCUGCUGGAGGGCCGACUGUUAUACACACUGCACGGACACCAGGGCUCAGCUUCCUGUGUGUCGUUCUCAAGAACAGGGGAUCACUUCGCCUCCGGAGGCUCGGACGAACAAGUGCUGGUGUGGAAGACCAACUUCAGCGCUGACGUGAUGAAGAGGCAGCGGUCGGAUGAAGCUCCCGUACAGGCUCCAGAAGUCUCAGACGUGUCUCAAUGCGACUCCAGGCCGAACGCUCGCACGUCUCACAGACCAGACGCUAGCUGUGACUCCGCCCACACGGAGCCGAACCAAUCAAAUCACUCCGAUCUGUCAGACACACAUCUCUCUCCUACACUCACCACAACACUGCAGCAUAUUGUGGGUCAGCUUGAUGUCCUCACACAGUUACAGGUUUUUUUCCUGCUUCCUCUUUCGUUCACUUGAGGUGCUUUUGGUGAUGUGCAGAAGGAAAAGACGUCUAAAUAAACACAAACACUCCAGCAGCUGGAGGGGGGACAUGAAUAAUUUACAGGAAAACGGUGUCCAUACUCGAACAGAGACUGACUUUGACGGAGGACAAACUAAAGGAAUGUGUGGAGAAUCAGCACAAAAUCAAUCUGCAGCUUCAGAGCAGAACUUAGUCUGGUCUCUAACAGCCCCCCGUCUGGUCUCUAACAGCCCCCCGUCUGGUCUCUAACAGCCCACCGUCUGGUCUCUAACAGCCCCCCGUCUGGUCUCUAACAGCCCCCCGUCUGGUCUCUAAAAGCCCCCGUCUGGUCUCUAAUAGCCCCCGUCUGGUCUCUAACAGCCACCCGUCUGGUCUCUAACAGCCCCCGUCUGGUCUCUAACAGCCCCCCGUCUGGUCUCUAACAGCCCCCCGUCUGGUCUCUAAUAGCCCCUGUCUGGUCUCUAACAGCUGGUCUCUAACAGCUCAGUUCUUUCAUUUUCCUCCUUUUCUGAAACCUCUG
RNA transcript from Tachysurus fulvidraco (yellow catfish), 1960 nucleotides. It is a transcript of the gene named POC1 centriolar protein homolog A-like, with no coding region annotated. The transcript is spliced from 12 exons. The record is from RefSeq and is a predicted model, not a curated record. NCBI's taxonomy places the organism in Eukaryota, Metazoa, Chordata, Actinopteri, Siluriformes, Bagridae.